AAUAUAUCACUUGCUAACUACCCGCCCUGAUCAAUCCAUAUUUUACCUAAUAUUUUAGUCGCAUUAAUAGUCACGUAUAUGAUUUGUUGCAAGAAAAAUAGAACUGACAAGAUCUUUGGCUACUGUAUUUUUGGCUUGGCAUUUGGGGGGAGGGGAAGCGAAUAUGGAGAGCAGAUGAAUAAAUUCUGAAUAUAAUAAGCUGUGAGAGAGAUAACUAAUGUAAAAAUGACAAAAUUUAAAAUUAAUACUUAUAUCACUUGCUAACUACCCGCCCUGAUCAAUCCAUAUUUUACCUAAUAUUUUAGUCGCAUU
RNAcentral lists this long non-coding RNA (312 nucleotides) under Brassica napus (rape). Its description in RNAcentral is "long non-coding RNA (BNAP_LNC026377)". The record is from RNAcentral. Lineage: Eukaryota; Viridiplantae; Streptophyta; Magnoliopsida; Brassicales; Brassicaceae.